CCUACGGGAGGCAGCAGUGAGGAAUAUUGGUCAAUGGACGAGAGUCUGAACCAGCCAAGUAGCGUGAAGGAUGACUGCCCUAUGGGUUGUAAACUUCUUUUAUAUGGGAAUAAAAUGUUCCACGUGUGGGAUUUUGUAUGUACCAUAUGAAUAAGGAUCGGCUAACUCCGUGCCAGCAGCCGCGGUAAUACGGAGGAUCCGAGCGUUAUCCGGAUUUAUUGGGUUUAAAGGGAGCGAAGGUGGAUUGUUAAGUCAGUUGUGAAAGUUCGCGGUUCAACCGUAAAAUUGCAGUUGAAACUGGCAGUCUUGAGUACAGGAGAGGUGGGCGGAAUGCGUGGUGUAGCGGUGAAAUGCUUAGAUAUCACGAAGAACUCCGAUUGCGAAGGCAGUUCACUGGACUGCAACUGACACUGAGGCUCGAAAGUGUGGGUAUCAAACAGGAUUAGAUACCCUAGUAGUC
Molecule: ribosomal RNA, 460 nt
Filed under: uncultured bacterium
Lineage: Bacteria
Description: partial 16S ribosomal RNA
Rfam family: Bacterial small subunit ribosomal RNA
Source: RNAcentral